UACGUAGGUGGCAAGCGUUGUCCGGAUUUACUGGGCGUAAAGAGCGCGCAGGCGGUCGUUCAAGUCGCGUGUGAAAGCCCCCGGCUCAACUGGGGAGGGUCACGCGAUACUGAUCGACUCGAAGGCAGGAGAGGGUAGUGGAAUUCCCGGUGUAGUGGUGAAAUGCGUAGAUAUCGGGAGGAACACCUGCGGCGAAGGCGGGUUGCUGGGCUGACACUGACGCUGAUGCGCGAAAGCUAGGGGAGCGAACGGG
Molecule: ribosomal RNA, 253 nt
Filed under: uncultured bacterium
Lineage: Bacteria
Description: partial 16S ribosomal RNA
Rfam family: Bacterial small subunit ribosomal RNA
Source: RNAcentral